Molecule: ribosomal RNA, 253 nt
Filed under: uncultured bacterium
Lineage: Bacteria
Description: partial 16S ribosomal RNA
Rfam family: Bacterial small subunit ribosomal RNA
Source: RNAcentral
UACGUAGGGGGCAAGCGUUGUCCGGAUUUAUUGGGCGUAAAGAGCGUGUAGGCGGCUUUACAGGUCCGUUGUGAAAACUCGAGGCUCAACCUCGAGACGCCGGUGGAAACCGUAAAGCUAGAGUCCGGAAGAGGAGAGUGGAAUUCCUGGUGUAGCGGUGAAAUGCGCAGAUAUCAGGAGGAACACCCGUGGCGAAAGCGGCUCUCUGGGACGGUACUGACGCUGAGACGCGCAAGCGUGGGGAGCAAACAGG